RNAcentral lists this ribosomal RNA (244 nucleotides) under uncultured bacterium. Its description in RNAcentral is "partial 16S ribosomal RNA". It matches the Rfam family "Bacterial small subunit ribosomal RNA", at positions 89 to 334 of the family's 1533-position model. The record is from RNAcentral.
UGGCGACCGGCGCACGGGUGCGUAACGCGUAUGCAACCUACCUUUAACAGGGGGAUAACACUGAGAAAUUGGUACUAAUACCCCAUAAUAUCAUAGAAGGCAUCUUUUAUGGUUGAAAAUUCCGAUGGUUAGAGGUGGGCAUGCGUUGUAUUAGCUAGUUGGUGGGGUAACGGCUCACCAAGGCGACGAUACAUAGGGGGACUGAGAGGUUAACCCCCCACACUGGUACUGAGACACGGACCAG